This 394-nucleotide ribosomal RNA is filed under the name uncultured bacterium. RNAcentral's name for it is "partial 16S ribosomal RNA". It matches the Rfam family "Bacterial small subunit ribosomal RNA", at positions 523 to 918 of the family's 1533-position model. The record is from RNAcentral.
AUACGGAGGAUGCAAGCGUUAUCCGGAUUUAUUGGGUUUAAAGGGUGCGUAGGCGGUUUGCUAAGCGGGAGGUGAAAUGCCGGCGCUCAACGUCGGAAGUGCCUCCCGAACUGGUGGACUUGAAUGACUCUGCCGUGGGAGGAAUGUGUAGUGUAGCGGUGAAAUGCUUAGAGAUCACACAGAACACCGAUUUCGAAGGCAUCUCACGAAGGGGUGAUUGACGCUGAGGCACCAAAGAGUGGGGAGCAAACAAGAUUAAAUUCCCUGGUAGUCCAUGAAGUAAACGAUGAUAACUAACACUUGUGUCGUAGUGAUUCAGUGGCCAAGCAAAAGCGAUAAGUGAUAAUCCUGGGGUGUUCGGCCUCAAGGCGGAAACUCACAGGAAUUGACGGGG